Chinchilla lanigera (long-tailed chinchilla) is the source of this 300-nucleotide long non-coding RNA. RefSeq lists it as uncharacterized. The transcript has 2 exons. Lineage: Eukaryota; Metazoa; Chordata; Mammalia; Rodentia; Chinchillidae. The record is from RefSeq and is a predicted model, not a curated record.
GUUCGUUAGCACAUCCCACAGUAUAGAGCUCCCUGGCCGUAUGGACCAAAGGAUGCUGCGUGGUCGGAGCUGAGGUCCUUGAAGGUAACAAGGAGAACAGACUGUGGAAUAGCCUCCUGGAACUCAAGAGGAGACCAACUUUGGAGACAGAUCCUAGAACUGUGGGCUCAAGAGACAGAAGCCCCAACAGACUGUUGAUUUCUACAUUUUUAAACAGUUAUAUUUUAAAUGCUUAUACAAGUACCUACGCAAUAUCCUUGAGCUUAUCCCUUGGCUGAUAAAACCUCAAAUAUAUACUAA